UACAGGGGGGGCAAGCGUUGUUCGGAAUUACUGGGCGUAAAGGGCUCGUAGGUGGCCAACUAAGUCAGACGUGAAAUCCCUCAGCUUAACUGGGGAACUGCGCCUGAUACUGGAUGGCUUGAGUUUGGGAGAGGGAUGCGGAAUUCCAGGUGUAGCGGUGAAAUGCGUAGAUAUCUGGAGGAACACCGGUGGCGAAGGCGGUUCUCUGGGCAUUACCUGACGCUGAGGAGCGAAAGUGUGGGGAGCGAACAGG
Molecule: ribosomal RNA, 253 nt
Filed under: uncultured bacterium
Lineage: Bacteria
Description: partial 16S ribosomal RNA
Rfam family: Bacterial small subunit ribosomal RNA
Source: RNAcentral